AUUGAACGCUGGCGGCAGGCCUAACACAUGCAAGUCGAGCGAGCGGCGGACGGGUGAGUAAUGUCUGGGAAUCUGCCUGAUGGAGGGGGAUAACUACUGGAAACGGUAGCUAAUACCGCAUACCAUCAGAUGAACCCAGAUGGGAUUAGGUUGUGGGUGGGGUAACGGCUCACCAAGGCGACGAUCCCUAGCUGGUCUGAGAGGAUGAACAGCCACACUGGAACUGAGACACGGUCCAGACUCCUACGGUAGGCAGCAGUGGGGAAUAUUGCACAAUGGGCGCAAGCCUGAUGCAGCCAUGCCGCGUGUAUGAAGAAGGCCUUCGGGUUGUAAAGUACUUUCAGCGGGGAGGCGUUACCCGCAGAAGAAGCACCGGCUAACUCCGUGCCAGCAGCCGCGGUAAUAC
Molecule: ribosomal RNA, 406 nt
Filed under: uncultured bacterium
Lineage: Bacteria
Description: partial 16S ribosomal RNA
Rfam family: Bacterial small subunit ribosomal RNA
Source: RNAcentral